RNAcentral lists this long non-coding RNA (4141 nucleotides) under Triticum aestivum (bread wheat). RNAcentral describes it as "long non-coding RNA (TAES_LNC024963)". Lineage: Eukaryota; Viridiplantae; Streptophyta; Magnoliopsida; Poales; Poaceae. The record is from RNAcentral.
UCGGUUCUGAAAACUAAAGAAUUCAUAUAUUGCUAGAUAGACUAUGAUUUAGGAUAUGCUAAACAGAAAGCUUUAUAAGAUGGAACUAUCAAUUCAUCAUGACUUCACUUUGUCCUUUAAUUUAAUUUAAUUUAAUAUGGUUAGAACUACCAUGGUUUUUUAAGUAGUUGGCGCAUUAAGAAACAGUAUGCUGGAUGUUUGGCCUUGCAUUCGUCCUUCCAUGAAUUCAUGCUUGUACAUUGCUAGUUAUUGAUUUUUUUGCAAGUCUUCUUCUUCCUCGAUCUUGUGCAGCAGCAACAAUUCAAGGUCAUGGUCAUGGAGCAGCAGCCAUAUAUUUUUCUUCUUAUUCCUCCCUGAGAUGACAUGAGAUGAGGUUUGUUUUCCUCAAGGUCAAGGUGCAGCAGCUCGAUUUGAUUUGAUGUGAUUGGAUUCAGUUUCCUCAUGCUUCUCUGUUUGCAUUGCAGGCUCUGUUGGUCGGUCUUCAAUUCUUCAUGCUGUUGCUGCUACUGCUACAUGAGGACCCUCUUCAAUUCUGCAUCCAUUGCGGCCGCCGCAGCUUCCACCUCUACCCGGCCGCAUUCGCAAGUGUAAGCUCCCCCUCCCUCCGUCCUAGAUCUCUAGGUCUGUUGCUGUCAUGCGCCAUGUUCUUGAUGUUGCGCGACCUAAUGUGGAUGCCACGAACGGCGCUGCUCCUGUGUGCAGAUUUGAUUCACCGCAUUAGUAUGCGGUUGUUGUCUCGUCGUGGUUGCUCAAACUGAGAUGUACCCAGUUGAUUCGUCAUCUCGGGUCAUAAAUUUUUCUGCAUUCCCUGUUGCUGUAGCUUGUUGGAUGCAUAGUUUGAUCUCCCAAUGGGAAUUAUUAGUGAAUGGUGAUGUCUGUGGUCACGAGAAUGGUGAUGUAGUAGCUGGUAUGCUUGAUGCGUGUAAGUCCAUCUCUUUACUGUUUUGCUAGAACCAUAAAUCCUGAUGCGCAUGAUGAUCAUGGUCUGAUUUGUUAGAUCUAUUCUGCUGGUGCUUAAAAUUUGACAUGCCUGGAUUCUAAAACAAAUUUUACAGCAUUCUAUGUUGUAGCCAAACACUUGCUCUGUAUUUUAUAUUAAAACCAUGGUAUUGUGUACCUGCCAACUACGAGUAAAUUACUGAAGUUUUUAAUACUUUGGUUUUUUUGAUACUUUUUUUACAGAAAGGCAAUGGUCUGUAGUGAACUGAAGAUAGGAAAAAUGAUAUGUAAAUGCACUUUGAUCUGCUCAGUAGGAGCAAGAUGGAGUCGCUGGAGCAGAGCAGUCGAGUCUGCAUUUUGUUCUUCUGUCAGACAGACAUCCACAUGUUGUACCGAUUCUUAGUUCAGAGAUAGGAAUGUAUAAAUGGUUGCCGAUCUCUCCAUGCAUGGAACAGUAGCUUUUUAUGUAGGAUCCUUUCCGUAUAGAUGAGUCACAACAUUGAUUUGUUGAUCCAUUUGGAAACUAAAAGAAAGUACAGAGAGGACGAACUUGUUGGUAGAACUUCAUCAUAUUCAGCAGACGGAGUCCACGGGUGUAGCAUUUUGUCUAGUACACCCAACACCACCUGAGGAUCCAAUUCACUGUUAGAAAGUUAGAAAUUGAUAUUACAGGUUCCUUAUAGUGCAAACCAAAGCUGCUACUCCAACAACCAUCAAAUGAAACCAUGUUUUCUAAAAUUAAAGGGUCUGAUUGAUAUUGGUCCUUCUUUUGACAGAUAUAAUAUGUAUACUGACUUGUUAUUUUCUUCUCUAGCAAGCACUACGGCGUCAACUUUGUGGUGGCCGACGCGACGGCCAUCGAGCAUGACUUCUUCCCCAAGAACAACCUCAGCGUGGACAUCACGCCGUAGUACAUCAUGAUGGAGCUUGGCUAGAUGUACACAUAUUUUUUUACAACCUCUGCGUGCAUAUUUUUUUUACAAUGCACCAAAGUUUCUUGUUUCUGUUGUGAAAGUAAUGUAAAUGGUGUUACAUAGUUCUCAAUAAAAAUGCAAAUAACUUGUGAAUUUGUCUUCAUGUUGUAUAAGUCUCGACAAAGUUAAUUUGCAUAAUCCUUGACCUCCUCCUGCAAUCUCUCUUUCUCCCUUUCUUCUUUGAAUUUCCCGGUGUUGUAUAAGUCUGCAAGAUUCAGAUUUUAAGAGUACUUGCUCCCUGUACUAGUUACUUCUACUAUUUAUUUUUAGCUGUUUAGUACUACUCUGUAGAUCUGUGAUACUAGUCUAGUCGCUUGUAUAAUUUUGUUUAAUGGUGUAACCUGAAACAUUGAGUAGUACCCUGUUCGCAUAUGUGUGAUUAUGUGUGUUCUGUAGUCUCUAGCUCCAGUACAUGUGAACUAUAUGUUGUGGUGUAAAUCAUUUUCAUUCUAUCUUAUAAACGUGUUUCUUCAAUAGCUAUUUUUGUUCAAGUCUUGUUGUCAUUGAUGUUAGCAUUUAGUUUGUCUCAAGUAAAAAAAAUACUAAAAAUACAGUGAAGAUAAUCUGAACCUCCCUAUGUAAAAUUUAGUUUGUCUAUAAUACUACUAGGAGAUGGGUGAGGGACUGAAAGGAUGAUAUGCUUCCAUGAAUUUAUUUGUAAGAAUUUUUUCUUGGCUCUGUACAAAUCAGCACAAAUAUGUGAGCCUCGGUUCUGAAAACUAAAGAAUUCAUAUAUUGCUAGAUAGACUAUGAUUUAGGAUAUGCUAAACAGAAAGCUUUAUAAGAUGGAACUAUCAAUUCAUCAUGACUUCACUUUGUCCUUUAAUUUAAUUUAAUUUAAUAUGGUUAGAACUACCAUGGUUUUUUAAGUAGUUGGCGCAUUAAGAAACAGUAUGCUGGAUGUUUGGCCUUGCAUUCGUCCUUCCAUGAAUUCAUGCUUGUACAUUGCUAGUUAUUGAUUUUUUUGCAAGUCUUCUUCUUCCUCGAUCUUGUGCAGCAGCAACAAUUCAAGGUCAUGGUCAUGGAGCAGCAGCCAUAUAUUUUUCUUCUUAUUCCUCCCUGAGAUGACAUGAGACGAGGUUUGUUUUCCUCAAGGUCAAGGUGCAGCAGCUCGAUUUGAUUUGAUGUGAUUGGAUUCAGUUUCCUCAUGCCUCUCUGUUUGCAUUGCAGGCUCUGUUGGUCGGUCUUCAAUUCUUCAUGCUGCUGCUGCUACUGCUACAUGAGGACCCUCUUCAAUUCUGCAUCCAUUGCGGCCGCCGCAGCUUCCACCUCUACCCGGCCGCAUUCGCAAGUGUAAGCUCCCCCUCCCUCCGUCCUAGAUCUCUAGGUCUGUUGCUGUCAUGCGCCAUGUUCUUGAUGUUGCGCGACCUAAUGUGGAUGCCACGAACGGCGCUGCUCCUGUGUGCAGAUUUGAUUCGCCGCAUUAGUAUGCGGUUGUUGUCUCGUCGUGGUUGCUCAAACUGAGAUGUACCCAGUUGAUUCGUCAUCUCGGGUCAUAAAUUUUUCUGCAUUCCCUGUUGCUGUAGCUUGUUGGAUGCAUAGUUUGAUCUCCCAAUGGGAAUUAUUAGUGAAUGGUGAUGUCUGUGGUCACGAGAAUGGUGAUGUAGUAGCUGGUAUGCUUGAUGCGUGUAAGUCCAUCUCUUUACUGUUUUGCUAGAACCAUAAAUCCUGAUGCGCAUGAUGAUCAUGGUCUGGUUUGUUAGAUCUAUUCUGCUGGUGCUUAAAAUUUGACAUGCCUGGAUUCUAAAACAAAUUUUACAGCAUUCUAUGUUGUAGCCAAACACUUGCUCUGUAUUUUAUAUUAAAACCAUGGUAUUGUGUACCUGCCAACUACGAGUAAAUUACUGAAGUUUUUAAUACUUUGGUUUUUUUGAUACUUUGCUGUUCGAUUUACUUUUAUUUUGUCCCUAAACAUUUUGUUCUACAAUGUGCAGAUGCUGGCAUUUCAUUCAGGACAAAGAAGUUGGAUAAAGCAUAGUUUUACCUCAUUGAGAUAGUUCUGGGAGUAACGAACUCCUUGUAGCAGAACUUGUACGUGUGCUAGUUCUGGGAGCUGAUCCUAUUUGUGUGUUAUAUGAUGUAGCAGAACUUGUAGGGCUCCUGUGAUAGACUUGGGCUGUAUGUGGGUUAUCUAAUUGUAAACUUGAUGCUGAUCACAUUUUUAUGUAUGUUAUAUGAUGUAGCAGAUUGCUUCCUGCUGUUAUUUGAAAUAUUGUGUCUGUUUUCUG